AGAUAUGAUCCAGAGUACCACGGGCCACGUGAAACCCUGUGGGAAGCAGGAGGGACCACCCUCCAAGGCUAAAUACUACCUAGUGACCGAUAGCGUAUAGUACCGUGCGGGAAAGGUGAAAAGAACCCCGGGAGGGGAGUGACAUAGAACCUGAAACCCUGCACUUACAAGCUGUGGAAGCACAUUUCUUGUGUGACCGCGUACUUUUUGUAGAACGGGCCAACGAGUUACGUUA
This 235-nucleotide ribosomal RNA is filed under the name Clostridioides difficile. Its description in RNAcentral is "partial 23S ribosomal RNA". It matches the Rfam family "Bacterial large subunit ribosomal RNA", at positions 398 to 635 of the family's 2925-position model. Lineage: Bacteria; Bacillati; Bacillota; Clostridia; Peptostreptococcales; Peptostreptococcaceae. The record is from RNAcentral.